AACGAACGCUGGCGGCAUGCCUAACACAUGCAAGUCGAACGAGACCUUCGGGUCUAGUGGCGCACGGGUGCGUAACGCGUGGGAACCUGCCCUUAGGUUCGGAAUAACUCCCCGAAAGGGGUGCUAAUACCGGAUAAUGUCUUCGGACCAAAGAUUUAUCGCCUUUGGAUGGGCCCGCGUUGGAUUAGCUAGUUGGUAGGGUAAAAGCCUACCAAGGCGACGAUCCAUAGCUGGUCUGAGAGGAUGAUCAGCCACACUGGGACUGAGACACGGCCCAGACUCCUACGAGAGGCAGCAGUGGGGAAUAUUGGACAAUGGGCGAAAGCCUGAUCCAGCAAUGCCGCGUGAGUGAUGAAGGUCUUAGGGUUGUAAAGCUCUUUUACCCGGGAUGAUAAUGACAGUACCGGGAGAAUAAGCUCCGGCUAACUCCGUG
Molecule: ribosomal RNA, 433 nt
Filed under: uncultured bacterium
Lineage: Bacteria
Description: partial 16S ribosomal RNA
Rfam family: Bacterial small subunit ribosomal RNA
Source: RNAcentral